RNAcentral lists this ribosomal RNA (546 nucleotides) under uncultured bacterium. RNAcentral describes it as "bacterial SSU rRNA". It matches the Rfam family "Bacterial small subunit ribosomal RNA", at positions 383 to 921 of the family's 1533-position model. The record is from RNAcentral.
CUGAUCCAGCCAUGCCGCGUGAAGUGAAGAAGGCCUUCGGGUUGUAAAGCUCUUUCGGCGGGGACGAAAAGGUCCGUGUUAACACCACGGAUCCAUGACGGUACCCGCAGAAGAAGCACCGGCUAACUACGUGCCAGCAGCCGCGGUAAUACGUAGGGUGCAGGCGUUAAUCGGAAUUGCUGGGCGUAAAGCGUGCGCAGGCGGUCUAUUAAGACAGGUGUGAAAUCCCCGGGCUUAACCUGGGAACUGCGCUUGUAACUGAUAGGCUGGAGUGUGGCAGAGGGGGGUGGAAUUCCAGGUGUAGCAGUGAAAUGCGUAGAGAUCUGGAGGAACACCGAUGGCGAAGGCAGCCCCCUGGGCUAACACUGACGCUCAUGCACGAAAGCGUGGGGAGCAAACAGGAUUAGAUACCCUGGUAGUCCACGCCCUAAACUAUGUCAACUGGUUGUCGGGGAAGCAAUUCCUUGGUAACGAAGCUAACGCGUGAAGUUGACCGCCUGGGGAGUACGGCCGCAAGGUUAAAACUCAAAGGAAUUGACGGGGACC